UGGGGAAUAUUGCACAAUGGGCGAAAGCCUGAUGCAGCAACGCCGCGUGAGUGAUGAAGGUCUUCGGAUUGUAAAGCUCUGUCUUUUGGGACGAUAAUGACGGUACCAAAGGAGGAAGCCACGGCUAACUACGUGCCAGCAGCCGCGGUAAUACGUAGGUGGCGAGCGUUGUCCGGAUUUACUGGGCGUAAAGGGUGCGUAGGCGGAUGUUUAAGUGAGAUGUGAAAUACCCGGGCUUAACUUGGGUGCUGCAUUUCAAACUGGAUAUCUAGAGUGCAGGAGAGGAGAAUGGAAUUCCUAGCGUAGCGGUGAAAUGCGUAGAGAUUAGGAAGAACACCAGUGGCGAAGGCGAUUCUCUGGACUGUAACUGACGCUGAGGCACGAAAGCGUGGGUAGCAAACAGGAUUAGAUACCC
Molecule: ribosomal RNA, 415 nt
Filed under: uncultured bacterium
Lineage: Bacteria
Description: partial 16S ribosomal RNA
Rfam family: Bacterial small subunit ribosomal RNA
Source: RNAcentral